AGAGCAUGCAGCGAAUGCCUAGGCACUAAGCGCCGAUGAAGGACGCAACUAACGGCGAAACGCUACGGGGAGCGGUAAGUACGCAACGAUCCGUAGGAAUCCGAAUGGGGGAACCCGGCAGUUAGAAGAACUGUCACACUAGAGAUAGUGGGGGAACGUGGGGAACUGAAAUAUCUAAGUACCCACAGGAAAAGAAAGUAAAAACGAUUCUGCAAGUAGCGACGAGCGAACGUGGAGGAGCCAGCACUAAUAACAGUAAGAAAACCAUAUUAUAGACGAGCACUUUGGGAAGAGUGGCCAGAGAAGGUGAAAGCCCUGUAGUUAAAAUGAUGUGGACUGGUAGUGCAAGAAGUAGGGCGGGACACGAGGAAUCCCGUUUGAAGAUGUGAGGACCAUCUCAUAAGGCUAAAUACGACUUAGUGACCGAUAGUGAACCAGUACCGUGAGGGAAAGGUGAAAAGAACCCCGGGAGGGGAGUGAAAGAGAUCCUGAAACUGUAUGCUUACAAUUAGUCAGAGCCCGUUAAGGGGUGAUGGCUUGCCUUUUGUAGAAUGAACCGGCGAGUUACGAUAUAUAGCGAGGUUAAGCCUGAAGGGGCGGAGCCGCAGGGAAACCGAGUGUUAAGAGCGCGAGAUAUAGUUAUAUGUUGUAGACCCGAAACCGGGUGAUCUAGCCAUGAGCAGGUUGAAGUCUAUGUAAGAGUAGAUGGAGGACCGAACGAGGGAGUGUUAAAAAACUCUUCGAUGACUUGUGGCUAGGGGUGAAAUUCCAAUCGAACCCGGAGAUAGCUGGUUCUCCCCGAAAUAGCUUUAGGGCUAGCGUUAACGAGUAAUUCAUGAGGGUAGAGCACUGAAUGUGUGAUGGCCGCACCUCGCGGUACUGAGCCCAAUCAAACUCCGAAUAUCAUGAAGUAAGAAGUUAGCAGUCAGACAGUGGGUGAUAAGGUUCAUUGUCGAAAGGGAAAGAGCCCAGACCGCCAGUUAAGGUCCCAAAAUUAAUGCUAAGUGGCAAAGGAAGUGGAGAUGCACAAACAGCUAGGAGGUUGGCUUAGAAGCAGCCAUCCUUUAAAGAGUGCGUAAUAGCACACUAGUCGAGUGACUCUGCGCCGAAAAUGUACCGGGGCUAAGCAUUAUACCGAAGCUGCGGAUUUGGAGGUAACUCUGAGUGGUAGGGGAGCGUUCUAACAGCGAAGAAGCGGUACCGGAAGGAGCCGUGGAGUGGUUAGAAGAGAGAAUGCCGGUGUAAGUAACGAAAAGAUAGGUGAGAAUCCUAUCCGUCGAAAACCCAAGGAUUCCAGGGGAAGGUUCGUCCGCCCUGGGUAAGUCGGGGCCUAAGGUGAGUCCGAGAGGAGUAGCCGAUGGAUAACAGGUAGAGAAUCCUGUACUAGUAUAUAUACAGAUGGAGUGACAGAGGAGGCUAGGUUUCGCCCGUGAAUGGAUUCGGGACGAGAUAGCGAGACAGUGGUGUAGGAAAAUCCGCACUGCGUUAAGGAUAGCUAUGAUAGGUAAAGGAAUACGAAGUCAAACUUUCAAGAAAAGCUUCUAUGGUUAAUAUAUAUACUACCCGUACCGUAAACCGACACAGGUGGGUGGGUAGAAAAUACUAAGACGCGCGAGAAAACCCUUGUUAAGGAACUCGGCAAAAUGACCCCGUAACUUAGGGAUAAGGGGGACUUUUAAUGAAAAAAGAGAGUCGCAGAAAAAAGGCCCAAGCGACUGUUUAUCAAAAACACAGGUCUCUGCAAAACCGUAAGGUGAAGUAUAGGGGCUGACGCCUGCCCGGUGCUGGAAGGUUAAGAGGAGAUGUUAGGCAACGAAGCAUCGAAUUGAAGCCCCAGUAAACGGCGGCCGUAACUAUAACGGUCCUAAGGUAGCGAAAUUCCUUGUCGGGUAAGUUCCGACCCGCACGAAAGGCGUAACGAUUUGGGCACUGUCUCAACAAGGGACUCGGUGAAAUCAAGCUGCCGGUGAAAACGCCGGCUACCCGCGACAGGACGAAAAGACCCCAUGGAGCUUUACUGUAGCUUGAUAUUGAGAUUCGGUGUACGAUGUACAGGAUAGGUGGGAGACUGAGAAACUAGGACGUUAGUCUUGGCGGAGUCGCCCUUUGGAUACCACCCUUCGUCCAUUGAGUUUCUAACCAUCAGAUGUGGAAUCUGGGGGACAGUGUCAGGUGGGCAGUUUGACUGGGGCGGUCGCCUCCCAAAGAGUAACGGAGGCGCCC
RNAcentral lists this ribosomal RNA (2223 nucleotides) under fermentation metagenome. RNAcentral describes it as "bacterial LSU rRNA". It matches the Rfam family "Bacterial large subunit ribosomal RNA", at positions 14 to 2311 of the family's 2925-position model. The record is from RNAcentral.